Non-coding RNA from Penaeus vannamei (Pacific white shrimp), 3429 nucleotides. Lineage: Eukaryota; Metazoa; Arthropoda; Malacostraca; Decapoda; Penaeidae. The record is from RefSeq and is a predicted model, not a curated record.
CAUCUUACUUUUUUCUGACCUUGCUUAGCCACUGGGGUAGGUUGAUGGAUUACGCCCACCAGAUGGGAGGUUUCUGCGGCCGGCCUUUCCCCCAGGUGACCGAGGACAGUUUGGAUGACUUGCUACAGAGGUUCAGUGAACUUGAUCUGCGACCAACCCUAUAUGAAGAAGUAAGUGCCCGAGAGAAAGUCGAGGCCCCAGAGUGGCACACCGAAUACUAGCCACGGCACCCAGUCAGGGUUUAUGUUUGUUUUUUGUGGUUUAUUUACUGUUUCCUUUGUAACUGCUGCUUUUUAUUUUUAGUAACAUAUUUACUUUUUUUCCUUCUUUUUUCUUAUUUGAUCUUUUUUCCUUAUUUUCUGAGUGAAAAAAAAUAUCUUGAAAUGUAUUUGCAGCAGGAGAAAAUUGAUAUCUAUCUUUUUGGUUGUUGUCGUUUUUACAAUUUGUAUUAUUGUUGCCAUCAUUGUUAUUGUUUAUUCAGUUUUCCUUUUCCAUUUGUAUGCAGUGUAUAACAAUUUCAAGUGUGUUUGACCAUAAAUUAAAAUAUGAUUUAUAAGUCCCUAAGGUGCUUACUUUUUGAUAAAUGUUUAAUUUUUAAAACAUUAAUAAAAAAAAAAGGGGGGGGGGGAAAUCAGUAAAGCAGCUAUUUACAGAAUAACGAAAUAAACAUAGACUUUUAAAAAAAUAGUAGAAAUAAGUUAAUAGGAAGGUGGAAGGGUUAGAAGGAAUCAGGAAUGAUGAAGUAUCAGUUAUCUAUAUUAGCAGACAUUUUCCUCUUAUAGUUACGAAGGGGAAAACUGAUAUUCUCGAACAAUCCUUCAUUUUUAUUUUUUCAUUUAUUUAUUUUUUUAUGUACUAUGUCUCCAGUGAUCUUUAUUUCCAAAGUUAUACUUUAUGAAUAUUGAAUUUAUGAUACUGAUAUUGAAUAUUGCAGUUGGAAUUUCUUUACAAAAUUGUAUUUUUGUAUAUAUCAGUUAUUGCACAAACUUACCAUCAGUUUGAUGACAGCGAAGGUUAAUUACUCUCUCUUUGUUGUAAUAUGAUAAUCCCUGUAAAACAUGAUACCUUGUUGCUUAUGAUAUGGUUAGUUUAUGGUAAUUAAGUUUUUCUUUUCUUUUCUUUUCUUGUGAUGUAAAAGGGAUAUUGUUUGUUCUCCCCUGAAAGAAGGGGAGGAUACCCAAAGAUGAUGAAACACUCCCAUGUUAAUUUUAAAAGAAAACUUGUUCUCCAUAAUCAUUUAUUCAUCAUUAUUGCUUAUUUUUCACACUCUUUUCUCUCCUCUCCUUUCCACUCUACUCCUCCUCCUCUUUUUUUUCCCCUUUGUUUACUAUCGCCAAUUACUCCUUCAUUAUUUUCCUCUUCCUCCUUCUCCUCUCUGUUUGUCAACCUUAAUCCUGAGCAAAAGCAAAUCAGCCAGCAUUUUCAAUAAUAUGGUAACAGUUAUUUUUAGCAUCAUAGUUAGAGAACAGCACAGAUUGAAAAAUGGCAAAUGUUGGAAUAGAGAAUACAGUCAAACUAAGAACAAAACCUACGUUAUUCUGCGUUUUGAAGUCUGCUUUUCACUGGGACUCAGGGACCAAAUAAACAUGUGUGCUUGACAUUUCACAUGUUAUGCACUUGUGUUUUCUAUUCUGCAUUCAUUACUUACAAGGUUGUUCAAUGCCUUUAUCAUUCUAUUCAUUUAUCUUGUAAUGCUUACUGAUGCUAUUAAAGGUUGUCAUUGUUACUAUUAUGGCCCCUACUAGUUUUCUUAGACAUUGUGAUAGCUUUUGCGGUGAGUAUUGUCAUUUUGAUUUACAUGAUUUUUGCCCUGCAUCAAAAACUUGUACGUCAUCAAAGCAGUCGUCUGUGUUUCUCUUGAAUGGAGAGGUGUUUUUAUUAUGGAAUGGAAGACUUUUAAACGCUACUAGAGAUUGGCACUUUUUCCUCUGCUGAUCUAUUCUUAUUCUAUCUUUUCUCUUUUUUCUGUCUUGGGAAGGUGGAUUUUAAUGGAUUUUGAAGGAGUGGAAUUUCAUUGGUUGUUUUUGGGUUUUGCUUCUGUACUGUUCACAUCAUCAUCAUUUUUCUUCAUAUAUUCAUGAUAGCUGUUAUUAUUAUUACCAUCGUUAUUAUUAUUAGUAGUAGUAUUGUUUUUGUUACUGUUUUCAGUAUUAUUACAUUGAUUAUUAGUAUUAUGAGUGUUAUGGCAGAAGUUAUUGAUUUAUAUAUUUGUACCACUAUUAGAAUUAUGUUUUUGCAUUAAACAAGAUGAAGAUAAUGAUAAUAUUAUUAUUAUAAUAUAGCUGAUAUUAUUAUUGAUAUUAUGGAUAUUAGUAUUUUGAAUUUAUUUUGUUUUCCUUUUGACAGGCUGUUAGUUAUAAUUGUACUUUUCAUUGCAUUUUUGCUUUUUUCAAUGACAUAUAUUUUUUUAUUAAUUAAAUGAUCUAGGCACUAGGGACCUAGGCAUUUACUAUUAAGGAACUUAAACUGGAGAACUAUUUUAUACUGAUAUUGAAGACUUCUCGUAUUAUUAUUCUGCUUCUUUUUCUUUCCUUUUGCAUGAAUAAUAUGUUAAUCCUGCAUAUGCUGGUUGAUAUGCAAGAGUUGUCUUUUGCUUGCCAAAAAAGAAAAUUUGAAUUAAAAAUUUGCAACUUUCCUUCCUUCCUUCCUUUCUUUCUUUCCUUUGGAAAAAUAUUUAAAUGUAUUAAACUUUUACUUGCAUUUAUUUGAUAGAUGCUGAAUGAAGUUUUUGCUAUUGAUGUUGCAUAUAUGCUAAUAUGUUUCUUGUUAAUAUGUGCAUCAUAGCUGUUAUGAUGCUGUUGUGGAGGCUCCGAUACAAAAAGUAUGUUCCUAUGGCUAGUCCUUUUAUUAAAAGGGUUACAAUUGUACAAUACCAAAAAAGAUGACGGAGUUGAGACAAGACAUUUUUUGUCAGUUGUUAAUGAUAGCUUCUUUGUUUGGCACUGAUUGAUGUUAUUCUCAUUUGAUUCUACAAUACCUUGGAAAGAUAACUAUGCAAGAAUUCUGUUCUAUAACAUGUGGUAUAAGGAAAAAGGAUUGCUUUUCUUUUUGAGUGAAAACCUUCUUCCAUUAUAGUGUACAUACUGCAACUUUUCCAUAUAAAACAUAUUUUGAUAAGUAAUGAUGACUAGUAAGAAACAUCAAACCACUUAGUGCCUUACAGAUUAUCAGUGUGCUGGAGUUGGUAAAUAUGCUCAAGAUCUGGAGGUGAAGGUGUAUGCCAUAUAUUAAUGGGUCUGCGGAUUUGAUUAUGGUUUAGUCCACUGGAUUUGUAUUAACCAAAGGAAUCAUGAUAAAAAAAUGUGAUUGUUAAUCUUAGUAUCAUGUUAAUUUUCAAUGGUUAAGUGAUAAAUGUACUUAUGAGUAAUAUUUUCAUUUUCUUUUUUUGUAUAUUAUUUUUUUUGUAAGUAUAUAAAAUGUUUUCAGCAA